RNAcentral lists this ribosomal RNA (441 nucleotides) under uncultured bacterium. Its description in RNAcentral is "partial 16S ribosomal RNA". It matches the Rfam family "Bacterial small subunit ribosomal RNA", at positions 338 to 795 of the family's 1533-position model. The record is from RNAcentral.
CCUACGGGAGGCAGCAGUGGGGAAUAUUGCACAAUGGGGGAAACCCUGAUGCAGCGACGCCGCGUGAGUGAAGAAGUAUUUCGGUAUGUAAAGCUCUAUCAGCAGGAACGAGACAAGACGGUACCUGACUAAGAAGCCCCGGCUAACUACGUGCCAGCAGCCGCGGUAAUACGUCGGGGGCAAGCGUUAUCCGGAAUCACUGGGUGGAAAGGGAGCGUAGACGGCUGAGCAAGCCUGAAGUGAAAGGCGGGGGCCCAACCCCCGGACUGCUUUGGGAACUGUACGGCUGGAGUGCAGGAGAGGUAAGUGGAAUUCCUAGUGUAGCGGUGAAAUGCGUAGAUAGUAGGAGGAACACCAGUGGCGAAGGCGGCUUACUGGACUGUAACUGACGUUGAGGCUCGAAAGCGUGGGGAGCAAACAGGAUUAGAUACCCUUGUAGUC